CCAGACUCCUACGGGAGGCAGCAGUGAGGAAUAUUGGUCAAUGGCCGAGAGGCUGAACCAGCCAAGUCGCGUGAGGGAAGAAUGUCCUAUGGAUUGUAAACCUCUUUUGUCAGGGAGCAAAGUCACCCACGUGUGGGUGUUGGAGAGUACCUGAAGAAAAAGCAUCGGCUAACUCCGUGCCAGCAGCCGCGGUAAUACGGAGGAUGCGAGCGUUAUCCGGAUUUAUUGGGUUUAAAGGGUGCGUAGGCGGGACCUUAAGUCAGCGGUAAAAUUGCGGUGCUCAACGCCGUAGAGCCGUUGAAACUGGGGUUCUUGAGUGAGCGAGAAGUAUGCGGAAUGCGUGGUGUAGCGGUGAAAUGCAUAGAUAUCACGCAGAACCCCGAUUGCGAAGGCAGCAUACCGGCGCUCAACUGACGCUCAUGCACGAAAGCGUGGGUAUCGAACAGGAUUAGAUACCCGAGUA
This 463-nucleotide ribosomal RNA is filed under the name uncultured bacterium. Its description in RNAcentral is "bacterial SSU rRNA". It matches the Rfam family "Bacterial small subunit ribosomal RNA", at positions 331 to 792 of the family's 1533-position model. The record is from RNAcentral.